RNAcentral lists this unclassified non-coding RNA (457 nucleotides) under Erithalis salmeoides. Its description in RNAcentral is "partial external transcribed spacer". Lineage: Eukaryota; Viridiplantae; Streptophyta; Magnoliopsida; Gentianales; Rubiaceae. The record is from RNAcentral.
GGUUGGAUCCCUGCUCGGGCAGCGACAUCCCCCGUGCAAGCCUCUUCAAUUUUCGGCCCAAGAGCAAGUUAGCCUUGGCCGUUUAUCGGUUUCCUGUGCUGUAUACCUACUAUAAUGGAAUUCGAACGUGCAAUAUUUUGUUAUUCGCCUUGUGCUGUCCCAUUGGUUGUCCCUUUGGGGURCGGUGUCGGGUGAACCUCGAAGCGAUCUUCAUGUUYUUCGUCACCCACGAAAUGUGUUGUCGGCGCGGCCCAUGAAGAUUGCUUGAGCUYUCGGAUGCGGAAUAUGCAGAGGGUAGUAGGCCUACAGCCUCUCUUUGCCCGAAUUAAGCGUUUAUUCGCUCAUUACCGAACGACGGCCGGCGGUGCUUUGAUGUGUUGGAGCCCUCAGGUUUUGGCAUCAUCAUGCAUCGCUGGCGUCAGUGAGGAAUGCUACCUGGUUGAUCCUGCCAGUAGUC